UGUUGACUGGAAAGGGGCAGGAGAAAAGUCCCUGUGGCUAAUGGAAAUGUUGUUUAUCUUGAUCUGGGUAAAGAUUACACAGGACUGCUUUCCUCUGGCUCUAUGAGUUGAACCUGGCCCUUUGCCCAGAACACCUCUCUGUGUGCUCACCUAGGGCCACUGGCUGUCAUAUCCUGAUUCACCAACCCAAAAGGGGGCUGGAGAAGGGAUCCUGGGAAACCACUGGGCCACGUUCAGUCUCCUCCCAAGCUGGAUGAAACCAGAAUGACAUCAAAGACCAUGAUGAUGGAGCCAUGAGAUGGAAUCAGACUGCUUGGAAGAGAGUACCUCACCUGUAUCCAUCUUUGAUACUCCUGAUUCUGCCAUCUUCUGCUUGCUGUAAAAGAAUCAGCCCAUCUUUCCAUCCUUAUACCAAGCCAAAGAACACAACUGUGGAGAAGGAUAAUGAAUCCUGAAGAAAACUUGAGUUUUGUAGUUAUCCUCUUUUUUUUGAGGAAGAUUAGCCCUGAGCUAACAUCUCCCACCAACCCUCCUCUUUUUGCUGAGGAAGACUGACCCUGCGCUAACACUUAUGCCCAUCUUCCUCUACUUUAUAUGUGGGAUGCCUACCACAGCAUGGCUUGACAAGCAGUGUGUAGGUGCGCACCCAGGAUCCAAACUGGCGGACCCCAGGCCGCCAAAGUGGAUCAUGAGCACUUAACCACUGAGCCACUGGGCUGGCCCCUUGAGUUUUGUAGUUAUUAGUGUCCCAGCCCAUCCCCUCAGAAUUUGCCUCUCUAAGACAAAGGCUGCUACUGUGACGUUUGUGAAUCUCUGCCUGAGGGCUAUUUAUCCGGCCCUGGGAGCACACAGCCUACAUGCAAGGCAAGCCAGAAACCCCACGUCCUGGAAGCAGCCCUCAACCAAUCCUUGAUAAGAGUCGGUGUAUAAACACCCCAGAUUCCCACUCCUUUGUAAGAAUAACUCUGGCGUUAUAUCCUAUGCUGGCUUCCUGAGGUCCCGCCAAGCCUGAGCUCCGCCUAUUCCAGCAGUAACUGGUUUGGUAACAUUGUUGGCUGCCUUCCUUCCCUAUCUCACUCCCUCACUCUGUUUCCCGGAUUACCUCCCAAAUCAGCUACUUGCACUCAAAUCUUUGUCUGAGGAUCUGCUUUUAGGAGAAUCCAAACUAAGACAUCUAUUGAAAGGAUAAAAGGGAAGCCCCAGAAGAAGCAGGAGCUGAUGCUCAUUAUAACUGUGAAAGGGACAUGGAUCGGACAAAUUUAAAGGGGGCAAGGGCUGAAUCUGGUGAGUUUGGAACUCUUUAUAACCCCCUCUUUUCUCUUAGCCACUUUGUUGAAAAUGAGGCCUUCUAUGUUUAUUAGAUAUUAGAAAGGCCAUAGUAAAAAUUCUGAUGCAUGGUUGUAUAGCUCCUAGCAGAAAGCCUGGCAUGUGGUAAGCACGUAGAGUAGUUGCUGAGUUCAUGAGCAUGGAUGUAUCAGACAUGUUUUCAACUAACCCCCUCAGUCAUUUCAACAUGCAUCACUGUUGCAUCAGUUCUUACUUCCACUAUUCAUCCUGAGCUGUCUGGUUAAUUUUUUUCCUAGUCCAAAUGGAGGUCUUUACCUUCACCCGUAUUGACCUUUUUCUUGUUAGAUUUACCAUAUUUCCAGUUAUUGGGGUUCUUCUGGGUGCUGGUUCUUUCACCUUACUAUUGCUGCUGCUGUGCCCAGCUUCAUAUUCCCCAUAGUUUUCCUCACAACAUCAUCUCGGUCCUCAUCCAAGGCACUGGGACAGUUCUUAACCAGGAAGGAAGUUAAGAACCUGGGCAGGAAAUCGUGCGACCUAUGUCACUACUUCCCUUUAUCUCAGGAGUUGCUGUCUAGCAAAGAGCAGAAAAGUGCUCAAGCUAGCUUAAGAAAAGGAGGGUUUGUUUUAAGCACUCUGGGAAAUUUCAUGCACUCUGAUUUUGCUCUGCCAUUUGAGCGCUCAUGGUUUCCUAUCUCUGCUAGGGGGACUGCUGCAUUUGUAGCCCCACAGACUUGUAGCCCGUGCAGACUUCCAUUUCUGCUCAUUCACUGGGGCUCAUGGUGAGCCAUCAUGGCUGCCCCCAAGGAGUUCCUUCAGACCCCAAGCCCACUUGGCCUUCCAGCUCAGCUCCCUAUGUUCAUAUACUUUGGACUGACCUAGUUUGGUACAAAUGUCCACAUUUGUUUCCACCAUCUAAGGCCAAAGGCAGAUUCAUAUUGUAUAGCGAGCUGCUCCUGCAAAAUUGUGAAUGAGACCGUUUCUCUAUGUUAAGGUAAAACAGAGAAGAAAAUGAUUGCACUUAUCUAGGAUUCCUCCAAAGGCCCAAAAUGCCACCAUAGACAAGAGGGUAUUCAUGGGGUAGAUUUUGGAGACAUUAGCAUUUCAAGGCCACACAACCUUCUAGGUAGGCCUGCUAUGUGAUUCUCUCAGAAGAUGGAGCCUAGGGCAGCCAAAUGUCUAUUGGAAGCCUACUUUUAUUGGGAAGGUAUUUAUUUAUUCACUACUGGGGAAAACCAACAAUUUCCUAUUGUCCUAUUCUGAUUUUAAUUAGAAUAUUAAUCAGCUAUGCUCUGCACAAUUUUAGCUAAAACUCCACAAUGCAAUAUGCUAAAAUUCCUAGGAACAGAGCCAAUUUAAUUCAUAUUAGAUAUUUUGCCCCAGGUUAGCAUUAGGGAC
Molecule: long non-coding RNA, 2682 nt
Filed under: Equus caballus (horse)
Lineage: Eukaryota; Metazoa; Chordata; Mammalia; Perissodactyla; Equidae
Description: lncRNA (ENSECAG00000052372.1)
Source: RNAcentral